UACGAAGGGGGCUAGCGUUGUUCGGAAUCACUGGGCGUAAAGCGCACGUAGGCGGAUCUUUAAGUCAGGGGUGAAAUCCUGGAGCUCAACUCCAGAACUGCCUUUGAUACUGAGGAUCUUGAGUCCGGGAGAGGUGAGUGGAACUGCGAGUGUAGAGGUGAAAUUCGUAGAUAUUCGCAAGAACACCAGUGGCGAAGGCGGCUCACUGGCCCGGUACUGACGCUGAGGCACGAAAGCGUGGGGAGCAAACAGG
This 253-nucleotide ribosomal RNA is filed under the name uncultured bacterium. Its description in RNAcentral is "partial 16S ribosomal RNA". It matches the Rfam family "Bacterial small subunit ribosomal RNA", at positions 524 to 776 of the family's 1533-position model. The record is from RNAcentral.